RNAcentral lists this unclassified non-coding RNA (390 nucleotides) under soil metagenome. RNAcentral describes it as "partial contains 5.8S ribosomal RNA, internal transcribed spacer 2, and large subunit ribosomal RNA". The stretch from base 1 to 122 matches the Rfam family "5.8S ribosomal RNA", at positions 35 to 154 of the family's 154-position model. The record is from RNAcentral.
GAUGAAGAACGUAGCGAAAUGCGAUACUUGGUGUGAAUUGCAGAAUCCCGUGAACCAUCGAGUCUUUGAACGCAAGUUGCGCCCGAAGCCAUUAGGCCGAGGGCACGCCUGCCUGGGCGUCACACGUCGUUGCCCCCCCAUCUACUCCUUCGGGAUUGCGGGGGGCGGAUGAUGGCCUCCCGUGCGCCUCGCCGCGCGGUUGGCAUAAAUGCCAAGUCCUCGGCGACGCACGCCACGACAAUCGGUGGUUGCGAAACCUCGGUUGCCCGUCGUGUGCGGUCGUCGCGCAUCGAGGGCUCGAAAAAAUUGCCGGGUUCCGGCUCGGCUUUCAACGCGACCCCAGGUCAAGCGGGGUUACCCGCUGAAUUUAAGCAUAUCAUAAGCGGAGGA